This 66-nucleotide transfer RNA is filed under the name Rubeoparvulum massiliense. It matches the Rfam family "tRNA", at positions 5 to 66 of the family's 71-position model. Rfam says of the family: Transfer RNA (tRNA) molecules are approximately 80 nucleotides in length. Their secondary structure includes four short double-helical elements and three loops (D, anti-codon, and T loops). The record is from RNAcentral. Lineage: Bacteria; Bacillati; Bacillota; Bacilli; Caryophanales; Bacillaceae.
CAUUAGCUCAGCUGGUAGAGCACCUGACUCUUAAUCAGGGUGUCACAGGUUCGAACCCUGUAUGAC